GCUACGGGUGGCAGCAGUGAGGAAUAUUGGUCAAUGGCCGAGAGUCUGAACCAGCCAAGUAGCGUGAAGGAUGACUGCCCCAAGCAUUGUAAACUUCUUUUAUCAAGGAAUAAAAUGAGGCACGUGUGCCUUUUUGCAUGUACUUUAUGAAUAAGCAUCGGCUAACUCCGUGCCAGCAGCCGCGGUAAUACGGAGGAUCCGAGCGUUAUCCGGAUUUAUUGGGUUUAAAGGGAGCGUAGAUGGGUUGUUAAGUCAGUUGUGAAAGUUUGGGGCUCAACCCUAAAAGUGCAAUUGAUACUGGCAGUCGUGAGUACAGUUGAGGUAUGCGGAAUGCGUGGUGUAGCGGUGAAAUGCUUAGAUAUCACGAAGAACCCCGAUUGCGAAGGCAGCUUACUA
Molecule: ribosomal RNA, 396 nt
Filed under: uncultured bacterium
Lineage: Bacteria
Description: partial 16S ribosomal RNA
Rfam family: Bacterial small subunit ribosomal RNA
Source: RNAcentral